This 371-nucleotide ribosomal RNA is filed under the name Staphylococcus aureus. Its description in RNAcentral is "bacterial SSU rRNA". It matches the Rfam family "Bacterial small subunit ribosomal RNA", at positions 1164 to 1533 of the family's 1533-position model. The record is from RNAcentral. Lineage: Bacteria; Bacillati; Bacillota; Bacilli; Caryophanales; Staphylococcaceae.
CGGAGGAAGGUGAGGAUGACGUCAAAUCAUCAUGCCCCUUAUGAUUUGGGCUACACACGUGCUACAAUGGACAAUACAAAGGGCAGCGAAACCGCGAGGUCAAGCAAAUCCCAUAAAGUUGUUCUCAGUUCGGAUUGUAGUCUGCAACUCGACUACAUGAAGCUGGAAUCGCUAGUAAUCGUAGAUCAGCAUGCUACGGUGAAUACGUUCCCGGGUCUUGUACACACCGCCCGUCACACCACGAGAGUUUGUAACACCCGAAGCCGGUGGAGUAACCUUUUAGGAGCUAGCCGUCGAAGGUGGGACAAAUGAUUGGGGUGAAGUCGUAACAAGGUAGCCGUAUCGGAAGGUGCGGCUGGAUCACCUCCUUU